This 274-nucleotide ribosomal RNA is filed under the name uncultured bacterium. Its description in RNAcentral is "partial 16S ribosomal RNA". It matches the Rfam family "Bacterial small subunit ribosomal RNA", at positions 523 to 796 of the family's 1533-position model. The record is from RNAcentral.
AUACGGAGGGUGCAAGCGUUACUCGGAAUCACUGGGCGUAAAGCGCGCGCAGGCGGCUUGGUAAGUUGGAUGUGAAAGCCUACGGCUCAACCGUAGAACUGCAUCCAAAACUGUCAAGCUAGAGUGUGGGAGAGGAAGAUGGAAUUAGUUGUGUAGGGGUAAAAUCCGUAGAGAUAACUAGGAAUACCAAAAGCGAAGGCAAUUUUCUGGAACACUACUGACGCUGAGGCGCGAAAGCGUGGGGAGCAAACAGGAUUAGAAACCCUAGUAGUCC